AUUGAACGCUGGCGGCAGGCCUAACACAUGCAAGCCGAACGGUAACAGGAAGCAGCUUGCUGUUUUGCUGACGAGUGGCGGACGGGUGAGUAAUGUCUGGGAAACUGCCUGAUGGAGGGGGAUAACUACUGGAAACGGUAGCUAAUACCGCAUAAUGUCGCAAGACCAAAGAGGGGGACCUUCGGGCCUCCUGCCAGCGGAUGGGCCCUGAUGGGAUUAGAUAGUAGGUGGGGUAACGGCUCACCUAGGCGACGAUCCCUAGCUGGUCUGAGAGGAUGACCAGCCACACUGGAACUGAGACACGGUCCAGACUCCUACGGGAGGCAGCAGUGGGGAAUAUUGCACAAUGGGCGCAAGCCUGAUGCAGCCAUGCCGCGUGUAUGAAGAAGGCCUUCGGGUUGUAAAGUACUUUCAGCGGGGAGGAAGGGAGUAAAGUUAAUACCUUUGCUCAUUGACGUUACCCGCAGAAGAAGCACCGGCUAACUCCGUGCCAGCCGCCGCGGUAA
Molecule: ribosomal RNA, 506 nt
Filed under: uncultured bacterium
Lineage: Bacteria
Description: partial 16S ribosomal RNA
Rfam family: Bacterial small subunit ribosomal RNA
Source: RNAcentral